GAUGAACGCUGGCGGCGUGCCUAAUACAUGCAAGUCGAGCGAACAGACGAGGAGCUUGCUCCUCUGACGUUAGCGGCGGACGGGUGAGUAACACGUGGAUAACCUACCUAUAAGACUGGGAUAACUUCGGGAAACCGGAGCUAAUACCGGAUAAUAUAUUGAACCGCAUGGUUCAAUAGUGAAAGACGGUUUUGCUGUCACUUAUAGAUGGAUCCGCGCAGCAUUAGCUAGUUGGUAAGGUAACGGCUUACCAAGGCGACGAUGCGUAGCUGACCUGAGAGGGUGAGCCGCACAACUGGAACUGAGACACGGUCCAGACUCCAACGGGAGGCGGCAGUGGGGAAUAUUGGACAAAGGGCGAAAGCCUGAUCCAGCCAUACCGCGUGGGUGAAGAAGGGCUUCGGGUAGUAAAGCCCUUUUGUUGGGAAAGAAAAGCAGCAGAUGAAUACACCGCUGUUCUGACGGUACCCAAAGAAUAAGCACCGGCUAACUUCGUG
Molecule: ribosomal RNA, 497 nt
Filed under: uncultured bacterium
Lineage: Bacteria
Description: partial 16S ribosomal RNA
Rfam family: Bacterial small subunit ribosomal RNA
Source: RNAcentral